ACGUAGGGGGCAAGCGUUGUCCGGAAUCACUGGGCGUAAAGGGUGCGUAGGCGGUAUGGUAAGUUAGAUGUGAAAUCCCCGGGCUUAACUCGGGAGUUGCAUUUAAAACUGUCAGACUAGAGUGCAGGAGAGGAAAGCGGAAUUCCUAGUGUAGUGGUGAAAUGCGUAGAUAUCAGGAGGAACACCAGUGGCGAAGGCGACGUCCUGGCCCGCACCUGACGCUGAGGCGCGAAAGCGUGGGGAGCGAACAG
This 251-nucleotide ribosomal RNA is filed under the name uncultured prokaryote. RNAcentral's name for it is "partial 16S rRNA". It matches the Rfam family "Bacterial small subunit ribosomal RNA", at positions 525 to 775 of the family's 1533-position model. The record is from RNAcentral.